GCACCGUAAACGAUGAAUGCUCGUCAUUGGCGACAUGACUGUCAGUGACCAAGGGAAACCAUUAAGCAUUCCACCUGGGGAGUACGCCGGCAACGGUGAAACUCAAAGGAAUUGACGGGGGCCCGCACAAGCGGAGGAACAUGUGGUUUAAUUCGAUGAUACGCGAGGAACCUUACCCGGGCUUGAAUUGCAGAUGCCGGAUCCAGAGAUGGGUCUUCUCUUCGGAGCGUCUGUGAAGGUGCUGCAUGGUUGUCGUCAGCUCGUGCCGUGAGGUGUCGGCUUAAGUGCCAUAACGAGCGCAACCCUUGUCUUCAGUUGCCAUCAGGUGAUGCUGGGCACUCUGGAGAGACUGCCAUCGCAAGAUGUGAGGAAGGUGGGGAUGACGUCAAAUCAGCACGGCCCUUACGUCCGGGGCUACACACGUGUUACAAUGGGGGGUACAGAGCGUUGCUACCUGGCGACAGGAUGCGGAUCGUGAAAUCCCCUCUCAGUUCGGACUGGAGUCUGCAACCCGACUCCACGAAGCUGGAUUCGCUAGUAAUCGCGCAUCAGCCAUGGCGCGGUGAAUACGUUCCCGGGCCUUGUACACACCGCCCGUCAAGCCAUGAAAGCCGGGGGCGCCUGAAGUCCGUUACCGCGAGGAUCGGCCUAGGGCGAAACUGGUGAUUGGGGCU
This 674-nucleotide ribosomal RNA is filed under the name uncultured equine intestinal eubacterium sp. PL17. RNAcentral's name for it is "bacterial SSU rRNA". It matches the Rfam family "Bacterial small subunit ribosomal RNA", at positions 797 to 1482 of the family's 1533-position model. The record is from RNAcentral.